AUUAAAGAUUAAUCUUUAAUUAAAUAUUAUGCCAUGUGGUGAAACCUCCAGGAAUCCGCCGAACCAAAAUUGGCAACCCUAGCUGGGACAGACCGACU
Molecule: non-coding RNA, 98 nt
Organism: Chelonoidis abingdonii (Abingdon island giant tortoise)
Lineage: Eukaryota; Metazoa; Chordata; Testudines; Testudinidae
Source: RefSeq, a predicted model, not a curated record